UCGGGAAUUUUGGGCAAUGGGGGAAACCCUGACCCAGCAACGCCGCGUGAAGGAUGAAGUAUUUCGGUAUGUAAACGUCGAAAGAAUAGGAAGAAUAAAUGACGGUACUAUUUUAUAAGGUCCGGCUAACUACGUGCCAGCAGCCGCGGUAAUACGUAGGGACCAAGCGUUGUUCGGAUUUACUGGGCGUAAAGGGCGCGUAGGCGGCAAUUCAAGUCAUCUGUGAAAUCUCCGGGCUUAACUCGGAACGGUCAGAUGAUACUGCUUUGCUAGAGUGCAGAAGGGGCAAUCGGAAUUCUUGGUGUAGUGGUGAAAUGCGUAGAUAUCAAGAGGAACACCUGAGGUGAAGACGGGUUGCUGGGCUGACACUGACGCUGAGGCGCGAAAGCCAGGGGAGCAAGCGGGAUUAGAUACCCCCGUAGUCCCUGAGCGGGCUGGCAAGGCGCAU
This 448-nucleotide ribosomal RNA is filed under the name uncultured bacterium. RNAcentral describes it as "bacterial SSU rRNA". It matches the Rfam family "Bacterial small subunit ribosomal RNA", at positions 355 to 825 of the family's 1533-position model. The record is from RNAcentral.